AGAUUGAACGCUGGCGGCAUGCCUUACACAUGCAAGUCGAACGGUAGCAGGUCUUUCGGGAUGCUGACGAGUGGCGAACGGGUGAGUAAUACAUCGGAACGUGCCUNGUAGUGGGGGAUAACUACUCGAAAGAGUGGCUAAUACCGCAUGAGAUCUAUGGAUGAAAGCAGGGGACCUUCGGGCCUUGUGCUACUAGAGCGGCCGAUGGCAGAUUAGGUAGUUGGUGGGAUAAAAGCUUACCAAGCCUACGAUCUGUAGCUGGUCUGAGAGGACGAUCAGCCACACUGGGACUGAGACACGGCCCAGACUCCUACGGGAGGCAGCAGUGGGGAAUUUUGGACAAUGGGGGAAACCC
Molecule: ribosomal RNA, 355 nt
Filed under: Comamonas sp. R-28210
Lineage: Bacteria; Pseudomonadati; Pseudomonadota; Betaproteobacteria; Burkholderiales; Comamonadaceae
Description: bacterial SSU rRNA
Rfam family: Bacterial small subunit ribosomal RNA
Source: RNAcentral